GAACGGACCGGUUGAGGUCCACA
This 23-nucleotide non-coding RNA is filed under the name Arabidopsis thaliana (thale cress). Lineage: Eukaryota; Viridiplantae; Streptophyta; Magnoliopsida; Brassicales; Brassicaceae. The record is from RNAcentral.